GGAUGCGAUCAUACCAGCACUAAAGCACCGGAUCCCAUCAGAACUCCGAAGUUAAGCGUGCUUGGGCGAGAGUAGAACUAGGAUGGGUGACCUCCUGGGAAGUCCUUGUGUUGCAUUCC
Molecule: ribosomal RNA, 119 nt
Filed under: Triticum aestivum (bread wheat)
Lineage: Eukaryota; Viridiplantae; Streptophyta; Magnoliopsida; Poales; Poaceae
Source: RNAcentral